GGCGAACGCUGGCGGCGUGCUUAACACAUGCAAGUCGAACGGUGAAGCGCCUUCCUUUUUGGUGGGUGUGGAUGAGUGGCGAACGGGUGAGUAACACGUGAGUAACCUGCCCCCUUCUUCUGGAUAACCGCAUGAAAGUGUGGCUAAUACGGGAUAUUCUGGGUCUGUCGCAUGAUGGGUCUGGGAAAGAUAUUGUUUCGGUGGGGGAUGGGCUCGCGGCCUAUCAGCUUGUUGGUGGGGUGAUGGCCUACCAAGGCGGUGACGGGUAGCCGGCCUGAGAGGGUGGACGGUCACACUGGGACUGAGACACGGCCCAGACUCCUACGGGAGGCAGCAGUGGGGAAUAGUGCACAAUGGGCGCAAGCCUGAUGCAGCGACGCCGCGUGAGGGAUGGAGGCCUGCGGGUUGUGAACCUCCUUCGCCAGUGAAGCAGGCCUGCCUCGUUUGUGGGUGGGUUGACGGUAGCUGGAUAAGAAGCGCCGGCUAACUACGUG
This 494-nucleotide ribosomal RNA is filed under the name uncultured bacterium. RNAcentral describes it as "partial 16S ribosomal RNA". It matches the Rfam family "Bacterial small subunit ribosomal RNA", at positions 28 to 507 of the family's 1533-position model. The record is from RNAcentral.